GGGUUGUGAGGUUAAGCGACUAAGCGUACACGGUGGAUGCCCUGGCAGUCAGAGGCGAUGAAGGACGUGCUAAUCUGCGAUAAGCGUCGGUAAGGUGAUAUGAACCGUUAUAACCGGCGAUUUCCGAAUGGGGAAACCCAGUGUGUUUCGACACACUAUCAUUAACUGAAUCCAUAGGUUAAUGAGGCGAACCGGGGGAACUGAAACAUCUAAGUACCCCGAGGAAAAGAAAUCAACCGAGAUUCCCCCAGUAGCGGCGAGCGAACGGGGAGGAGCCCAGAGCCUGAAUCAGUGUGUGUGUUAGUGGAAGCGUCUGGAAAGGCGCGCGAUACAGGGUGACAGCCCCGUACACAAAAAUGCACAUGCUGUGAGCUCGAUGAGUAGGGCGGGACACGUGGUAUCCUGUCUGAAUAUGGGGGGACCAUCCUCCAAGGCUAAAUACUCCUGACUGACCGAUAGUGAACCAGUACCGUGAGGGAAAGGCGAAAAGAACCCCGGCGAGGGGAGUGAAAAAGAACCUGAAACCGUGUACGUACAAGCAGUGGGAGCACGCUUAGGCGUGUGACUGCGUACCUUUUGUAUAAUGGGUCAGCGACUUAUAUUCUGUAGCAAGGUUAACCGAAUAGGGGAGCCGAAGGGAAACCGAGUCUUAACUGGGCGUUAAGUUGCAGGGUAUAGACCCGAAACCCGGUGAUCUAGCCAUGGGCAGGUUGAAGGUUGGGUAACACUAACUGGAGGACCGAACCGACUAAUGUUGAAAAAUUAGCGGAUGACUUGUGGCUGGGGGUGAAAGGCCAAUCAAACCGGGAGAUAGCUGGUUCUCCCCGAAAGCUAUUUAGGUAGCGCCUCGUGAACUCAUCUCCGGGGGUAGAGCACUGUUUCGGCAAGGGGGUCAUCCCGACUUACCAACCCGAUGCAAACUGCGAAUACCGGAGAAUGUUAUCACGGGAGACACACGGCGGGUGCUAACGUCCGUCGUGAAGAGGGAAACAACCCAGACCGCCAGCUAAGGUCCCAAAGUCAUGGUUAAGUGGGAAACGAUGUGGGAAGGCCCAGACAGCCAGGAUGUUGGCUUAGAAGCAGCCAUCAUUUAAAGAAAGCGUAAUAGCUCACUGGUCGAGUCGGCCUGCGCGGAAGAUGUAACGGGGCUAAACCAUGCACCGAAGCUGCGGCAGCGACGCUGAUGCGUUGUUGGGUAGGGGAGCGUUCUGUAAGCCUGUGAAGGUGUGCUGUGAGGCAUGCUGGAGGUAUCAGAAGUGCGAAUGCUGACAUAAGUAACGAUAAAGCGGGUGAAAAGCCCGCUCGCCGGAAGACCAAGGGUUCCUGUCCAACGUUAAUCGGGGCAGGGUGAGUCGACCCCUAAGGCGAGGCCGAAAGGCGUAGUCGAUGGGAAACAGGUUAAUAUUCCUGUACUUGGUGUUACUGCGAAGGGGGGACGGAGAAGGCUAUGUUGGCCGGGCGACGGUUGUCCCGGUUUAAGCGUGUAGGCUGGUUUUCCAGGCAAAUCCGGAAAAUCAAGGCUGAGGCGUGAUGACGAGGCACUACGGUGCUGAAGCAACAAAUGCCCUGCUUCCAGGAAAAGCCUCUAAGCAUCAGGUAACAUCAAAUCGUACCCCAAACCGACACAGGUGGUCAGGUAGAGAAUACCAAGGCGCUUGAGAGAACUCGGGUGAAGGAACUAGGCAAAAUGGUGCCGUAACUUCGGGAGAAGGCACGCUGAUAUGUAGGUGAAGUCCCUCGCGGAUGGAGCUGAAAUCAGUCGAAGAUACCAGCUGGCUGCAACUGUUUAUUAAAAACACAGCACUGUGCAAACACGAAAGUGGACGUAUACGGUGUGACGCCUGCCCGGUGCCGGAAGGUUAAUUGAUGGGGUCAGCGCAAGCGAAGCUCUUGAUCGAAGCCCCGGUAAACGGCGGCCGUAACUAUAACGGUCCUAAGGUAGCGAAAUUCCUUGUCGGGUAAGUUCCGACCUGCACGAAUGGCGUAAUGAUGGCCAGGCUGUCUCCACCCGAGACUCAGUGAAAUUGAACUCGCUGUGAAGAUGCAGUGUACCCGCGGCAAGACGGAAAGACCCCGUGAACCUUUACUAUAGCUUGACACUGAACAUUGAGCCUUGAUGUGUAGGAUAGGUGGGAGGCUUUGAAGUGUGGACGCCAGUCUGCAUGGAGCCGACCUUGAAAUACCACCCUUUAAUGUUUGAUGUUCUAACGU
This 2211-nucleotide ribosomal RNA is filed under the name Escherichia coli. RNAcentral describes it as "partial 23S ribosomal RNA". It matches the Rfam family "Bacterial large subunit ribosomal RNA", at positions 1 to 2228 of the family's 2925-position model. Lineage: Bacteria; Pseudomonadati; Pseudomonadota; Gammaproteobacteria; Enterobacterales; Enterobacteriaceae. The record is from RNAcentral.